GACGUAGGGGGCAAGCGUUAUUCGGAAUUAUUGGGCGUAAAGAGCUCGUAGGCGGUCUGUCACGUCGGCUGUGAAAUCCCGAGGCUCAACCUCGGGUCUGCAGUCGAUACGGGCAAACUAGAGUAUUGCAGGGGAGACUGGAAUUCCUGGUGUAGCGGUGAAAUGCGCAGAUAUCAGGAGGAACACCGGUGGCGAAGGCGGGUCUCUGGGCAAUAACUGACGCUGAGGAGCGAAAGCGUGGGGAGCGAACAGG
This 253-nucleotide ribosomal RNA is filed under the name uncultured prokaryote. Its description in RNAcentral is "partial 16S ribosomal RNA". It matches the Rfam family "Bacterial small subunit ribosomal RNA", at positions 524 to 776 of the family's 1533-position model. The record is from RNAcentral.